GGGAUCGCUUUACCUAUGGAUACGAGCUUGAUGUUCUCUCGAUCCAGGAACUCCAACGCCACAGACACGUUCUCCAGCUUCAUCUGUCGAAAGCGACUUCAGGAAAAGGCGGAAGGAUUUCAGAACGUCAAUUUGAAAUGACCACGGAAACUGAAGUGACACUGUACACAACAUGAAUAUGGCCUGUAAAGAAAACGGCGAUUUUCAUCUGACAAGCUGAGAGGGUGGGCUC
Molecule: long non-coding RNA, 232 nt
Organism: Polypterus senegalus (gray bichir)
Lineage: Eukaryota; Metazoa; Chordata; Cladistia; Polypteriformes; Polypteridae
Exons: 3
Source: RefSeq, a predicted model, not a curated record